UCCUCAUGGCCCUUAUGGGUAGGCUUCACACGUCAUACAAUGGUCGGUACAGAGGGUUGCCAAGCCGCGAGGCGGAGCCAAUCCCACAAAGCCGAUCGUAGUCCGGAUUGUUCUCUGCAACUCGAGAGCCAUGAAGUCGGAAUCGCUAGUAAUUGCAGGUCAGCAUACUGCGGUGAAUACGUUCCCGGGUCUU
RNAcentral lists this ribosomal RNA (193 nucleotides) under uncultured Thiobacillus sp. Its description in RNAcentral is "partial 16S ribosomal RNA". It matches the Rfam family "Bacterial small subunit ribosomal RNA", at positions 1190 to 1382 of the family's 1533-position model. Lineage: Bacteria; Pseudomonadati; Pseudomonadota; Betaproteobacteria; Nitrosomonadales; Thiobacillaceae. The record is from RNAcentral.